Molecule: long non-coding RNA, 313 nt
Filed under: Numida meleagris (helmeted guineafowl)
Lineage: Eukaryota; Metazoa; Chordata; Aves; Galliformes; Numididae
Description: lncRNA (ENSNMEG00000018319.1)
Source: RNAcentral
GAAAUAUCCACUGAACUUUGAGAGAACUGUAAAAAUUACAUUUCAUGCUAGACAGGGCCUAGAGGAAUUGGAAGCAAUGAAACAAAUACAAAAGAAGAUGAGAGCACUCUCAGUAAUCUGGUGAAACACUGUUAUAUCUCCUGGGCUAAGGAUUCAUCUUUGGUCAAACUGUUGAAAUCAGUCAUUGGAAAUAAAAGGUUAUCUAAAGUUUGAUCCAGCACAGAGUCUGAGCUUGCAUCCCCAGAAGGAUGGGACAUGGGCCCCGAGGUACCAAAUGCAGCAUUACAAGCCAUGACUUAUGUCAGGAGAAAAG